AACGAACGCUGGCGGCGUGUUUAAGACAUGCAAGUCGCACGGGAUAAGACAUGUAGUAAUACUUGUUUUAUUUAGUGGCGCACGGGUGAGUAACACGUGAAUUACAUGCCCUAUAGUGGGGAAUAGCCCAGGGAAACUUGGAUUAAUACCCCAUGGUAUCGAAAGAUUAAAGGUGGCCGCAAGGCUGUCGCUAUAGGAUUGGUUCGCGCCCUAUCAGCUUGUUGGUGAGGUAACGGCUCACCAAGGCAAUGACGGGUACCUGGUCUGAGAGGACGAUCAGGCACACUGGAACAGAGACACGGUCCAGACACCUACGGGUGGAAGCAGUCGAGAAUAAUUCACAAUGGGGGCAACCCUGAUGGUGCAACGCCGCGUGGAGGAUGACGGUCUUCGGAUUGUAAACUCCUGUCAUCUGGGAGAAAGACCUGACGGUAAAUAGCCGGCAGGGUUGAUAGUACCAGAAGAGGAAGGGACGGCUAACUUCGUGCCAGCCGCCGCGGUAA
RNAcentral lists this ribosomal RNA (503 nucleotides) under uncultured bacterium. Its description in RNAcentral is "partial 16S ribosomal RNA". It matches the Rfam family "Bacterial small subunit ribosomal RNA", at positions 29 to 523 of the family's 1533-position model. The record is from RNAcentral.